GCGCAGAGGGGAGAGGAGGUUGCAGCUUACUGGAGAGGAAGAAGUCCCCCGCAAGAGCAGCGCGUGCGCAGAGUGAAGGGGCGGGUGGACUGCAGUAAAGCCCAGUGCAAGUGAAGCAGGACACCCAGGAGGGUGGGUUGUGUGUGCUCACAUGACCAAAGGUAUCCAGGUUGUAUUGUAUCCAGGAAUCCUUUUGCCUCUAGACCCCUAUGGCUGCUACCUGGAUACCUGACACAUGAAAGAUAACGAAUUUCAGCUGAUUUUUCAAAUGAAAACAAUAAUUUUACAAGAAAGAAGCAAGUUUUCCCACUUGAAACCUGACACCCUGCUCCUGCCUUUGUUCCAGGUAAUUUGCAUUUUCACAGAGCCUAGAGAUACCUCACCACAAAAGAAAUUCCUGCCCAGAAAAGUAUUCUGUCUUUCUACUCUUCUGUGAAAUAUGAAACAUCAUAACCAGAAGGAAAUAUGACUACAUCCUGCUGGCCACCAGACAGCUUUGAGGUAAAGAGACUGUUCCAACUUCUCUGAGCCUAAUCUGCAUAAAAGGAACUGUCCAAACAGGAGAUUUUUAUCACACCUUCAGCUUUCCUGUGAAAUAUGAAUUUUCAUCUCUACCUAGGAGAACUUUUACAGUCUUUGCUGUUUCCUAUGCCUGAAGAAGAGUGCCUGUGCCUGAAAGGUUGCAAAUAAUUUUUUUUUACAAAUACCUAGUUGGUCUAAUAAAAGAUAUCCCCUCUGCCACGAGUUCUGAUUCCUCAUGAGUGAAGACACUGUAUCCUCAUCCACCUUCAUAGCUCCCAGAGCAGCUCACUUCAGCAGCUGUCCAGAAAGCAAACAAAAUGCUAGAGAUUUUUCAGAAAAGAACUUUAAACUAAACAGAAAGUAGCCUCAUGUGCUUUUAUACAUCUGAGGUGUGGCCACACCUUGAACGUUGUGCCAGGUUCUCAUCCCCCAUGGCUCAAAAAGGGUGUAGAAGAAUUAAAGAUGGUCCACAAGAAGGCAACAAGAAUAAUUACCUGUAUGAAGGGGCUUCCACGUGAGGAGAGACUAGAGAGGUUAGGCCCAUUCUGUUCAGAGGAAAGAUGCUUGAGGGGAGACAUGAGAAAGGUUGACAACAUAAUAAAUGAUGAUGAGGAAGUAAAUAAGGAUUUAUCAUUUCCUGUCUCACACAAGAGAAGAACCAGUGUUAACAAAGUUUAAAACUAAACAAAGGAAGUUCUUUUUCACACAGGAUGUCAUUCAAGUGUGGACAUCCUUGCUACCAGAUAUGGUGGAAGCUGACUGUAACCAGAUUCAAAAAAAGGAUCAGACAGAUUCUUGGAGGAAAGGGGCAUCAGUGGCUACUAAGCAUAGGUGUUAAGGAUACAGCCUCUAAAUUAGAACUUCUUAGACCUUAAAUGCUGGAGACUGCAAAUGAGAAAAGGGUUUUUCCACUGUUCCUCGUCGUACCUUGUUCACUUUCCCUUUCAGCAUCCACUCUCUACCACUGUGUGACCCAGACCUUUUGAUAUGCCAUUCUAGAACAUGGGCCAGAGCCCACCAAAUAGACCUAUAAGCCCCCCCGCCGUUGCUGAGGGAGCGCACUAAUCGCAUCACUUAUUGCAUGGGACAACUAAAAGACAAAACAGAGUCAGAAGUGAAGGUCAGAAGUUCAAAAUGAGUGUACCAAGGUGGGGGCAUGCUGAGCAUAGAGCACCAGAUGGUGCCCGCUGGUCUUUGAAUGAGUUCAGCACUGCCCAGAGUGAAACUCUGCCCAGAGAUGCGAACAGACCAGAGACAGAAAAAUGGCCCCGCAGUUCCUGGGAGUCUUCCCACCCAGAGACUCUUUCCUGGUCACUUUGAUGCAGGAUACUGAGCAAGCUGAACACUUGGUCUGAUCCAAUAAAUGUUAGUGUUCUGGGGGGUUUUUUAUCAAGCCUUUCUUCUGACCAUCUCUGUUCUGUAGUAUUUGCUUAUCUUUGUAGAGGGUUUGUUUUCAGUGCUUAUCAUUAAUGUGUUUCCAUGGGCAGAUGUACAGUUUUGAAAAGCUAAAUGCAAAUGAUGUAGUGCAUCAUCCCAUAUAACAAAGCACAUAUUUUUUGCAAUGUAUAAAGAAACUAGAAGCCUUACUAGUAUGCUAGGGGCUUAAGACUAUAUUAUUCAGUUUAACAUCAAAGCAAAAACAAAUAUAAGUUCACUGGAGUGUGCUUAAAACAAUCUGCACAGCUGUGAAAUAGGAGCUACAUUACCAGGAGCAGAUAACAAAUAGCAGAAUUGCAGAAGAAAGGAUAGCUUGAUUCGCAGAACAUCAAGACCAUUAAAAAAGGAGAGAAGGUCAUUAACACCUGUGGAAUGAAGAACUCUUGAAUGAGACAGACUCAGGUAGAUUUUAAUGAGCCAUGAAUUCAGUUGAUGCUCCCACUGCUGCCUGAACAGAAAUGUUGCUGUCACUGCCAGGAAUUGGUUUAAAAUUUUGGGUAGAGCAGUAAACAAAGUGGGGUGCAACUGCACCAGUGCAUCCUCCCUGGUUCCACAGCUGUAUGUCUUCUUUGUAGCAUUGCAAACCCCAAGUGCUCCAAAGUGGUUGGUCCAGUGGCUCUCAGCCUUUUUAAGCUCAAGGCACCUGUCAGAAACUGUCAGCUGUGGGUUUUUACUCAUUUUUUGAAUAUGGAAAAAUAAUACAAUUUUUUUCUAUUGCAAAGCAAUCAGAAAGACCACAAUAAGCCAGAAUGUUCGUAACCCUGUGGAUUUUUGUUUGAAAUGGUUGGGUAUAUCUCAUAUUUCAUGUUUGCACACUUAACGGUGCUAAAAUUGCAUGACAUCCCACAUCACCUCUGAAAGGAUCUCAAGGCACCCUGGUUGAAAAUCACUCUUAUUAGUCUUCAGAAAUCAUGAUAAAUUGCAAAGUGGGCAUGUCUACACAUGCUAUUAUUGCUUUUGAAUAAACUCUGGAGCUUAUUGCUCCAGAGUUUAUUGCUCCUGGGUGCUGCGUCUGCAAGUGUUUCUGGGAGUGCAGCACAUUGAGCUGGGUCAGAACGGCCCCAGCUGGAAGGGGGCCCAUGAGAAGCCUGCCACAGCCUGGGGCUGCUCCACCUGGCUUAGUGUUGCAUAGGAGCUGGUGGGGCACAAGAGUGCUUCAAUGUGGGGCUAGAUUCUCACAUAACUAUUUGUCUCCAAAAGCUGGCAGCUCUAUUAAAACAUAAGAUUCUUGGUAAAAUAGCAACCUGGUUUGCUGGCAUUGUGCAAUAUCAAUUUAUGCCCUCUCAGGCUGCCAGUCCAAGGCGUGGAGUGAAUUUCAAAGGAACAGGGUCAAGCUUUCCCAAGGCCAGAAUUACCAUACUUCUAAGGGAGGGAUUCCAUUUUAGAUGCCUGGUCUCCACUGCAGACAAUCAAGCCCUCCACAGAAGUGCUGUACAUCUCCAUGGACUCAGGAGGUGUGUCAACAGCAGUUUAAAUAUAAAGGAAAAUAGCUUAAGUGUUUUGUUUAUAUUAGAAAGUAGUGAUGAGAUGGAAGAGUGCUUAUUUGACAUGCCAAGCUUUCUUGUGGUCUUGCUAUAUAGACUUUUAACAUGACACCUGGCACCUUUAAGAGACAACAUUAUGUCUGCUUCAUGUACUGAAACUUUCUGUCCUAAAACUGUGAUUUGUGCAUUCAAUCCAUGUUUCCCCAGAAUCAUGUUGUUUGCUUGCUUCCACUGAGUUUACCCCUCUGAAGGAGGACUACACAAAAUAUUGCUGCGUUGUAAUAAAAGACUUGGCCAUA
Long non-coding RNA from Alligator mississippiensis (American alligator), 3742 nucleotides. RefSeq lists it as uncharacterized. Lineage: Eukaryota; Metazoa; Chordata; Crocodylia; Alligatoridae. The transcript has 2 exons. The record is from RefSeq and is a predicted model, not a curated record.